CUUACACAUGCAAGUCGAACGGCAGCACGGGGGCAACCCUGGUGGCGAGUGGCGAACGGGUGAGUAAUACAUCGGAACGUGUCCUGUAGUGGGGGAUAGCCCGGCGAAAGCCGGAUUAAUACCGCAUACGCUCUACGGAGGAAAGGGGGGGAUCUUCGGACCUCUCCGCUAUGGGGGCGGCCGAUGGCAGAUUAGCUAGUUGGUGGGGUAAAGGUCUACCAAGGCGACGAUCUGUAGCUGGUCUGACAGGACGACUAGCCACACUGGCACUGAGACACGGU
This 281-nucleotide ribosomal RNA is filed under the name uncultured bacterium. RNAcentral describes it as "partial 16S ribosomal RNA". It matches the Rfam family "Bacterial small subunit ribosomal RNA", at positions 48 to 330 of the family's 1533-position model. The record is from RNAcentral.